RNAcentral lists this non-coding RNA (29 nucleotides) under Rattus norvegicus (Norway rat). The record is from RNAcentral. Lineage: Eukaryota; Metazoa; Chordata; Mammalia; Rodentia; Muridae.
UGGUCUUUGUAGUUUGACAGCUCUCCGGA